RNAcentral lists this long non-coding RNA (281 nucleotides) under Homo sapiens (human). RNAcentral describes it as "HSALNT0339110". The record is from RNAcentral. Lineage: Eukaryota; Metazoa; Chordata; Mammalia; Primates; Hominidae.
AUAAACCAAUAAAAGGCUGGGCGCAGUGGCUCACGCCUGUAAUCCCAGCACUUUGGGAGGCCGAGGCGGGUUGAUCAUGAGGUCAGGAGAUCGAGGCCAUCCUGGCUAACACGGUGAAACCCCGUCUCUACUAAAAAUAGAAAAAAUUAGCCAGGCGUGCUGGCAGGCGCCUGUAGUCCCAGCUACUUGGGAGGCUGAGGCAGCAGAAUGGCGUGAACCCAGGAGGCAGAGCUUGCAGUGAGCCAAGAUCGUGCCACUGCUCUCCAGCCUGGGUGACAAAG